UCCUGGUUAACCCAGGCAGUCUCACUAGAGUUCCCACCAUUACGUGUUGGCAACUAGGGAUAAGGGUUGCGCUCGUUGCGGGACUUAACCCAACACCUCACGGCACGAGCUGACGACAGCCAUGCAGCACCUGUGCAGCGGCCCUUGCGGGAGAUCACAUUUCUGUGACUGUCCACUGCAUGUCAAAUCUGGGUAAGGUUCUUCGCGUUGCAUCGAAUUAAACCACAUGCUCCACUGCUUGUGCGGGUCCCCGUCAAUUCUUUUGAGUUUCACCCUUGCGAGUGUACUCCCCAGGCGGUAUACUUAACGCGUUAGCUACGGCACAACCGGGGUUGAGUCCAGUUACACCAAGUAUACAUAGUUUACGGCAAGGACUAC
Molecule: unclassified non-coding RNA, 378 nt
Filed under: uncultured Parachlamydiaceae bacterium
Lineage: Bacteria; Pseudomonadati; Chlamydiota; Chlamydiia; Parachlamydiales; Parachlamydiaceae
Description: contains 16S-23S intergenic spacer region
Source: RNAcentral